This is a long non-coding RNA of Vicia villosa (hairy vetch), 502 nucleotides long. RefSeq lists it as uncharacterized. The record is from RefSeq and is a predicted model, not a curated record. Lineage: Eukaryota; Viridiplantae; Streptophyta; Magnoliopsida; Fabales; Fabaceae. The transcript is spliced from 3 exons.
GCCUCUUUCUCACUUUCUCGUUCACGAGAAAACAACAAUGAAGGAACAGAGCAAAAUUUCCUCUCUGCCUUGCUUUGAAUCGCUUUCGAUCUCUGUUCUCUCUUGCUUGCAAACAACAAACAAAAAUAGGUUCUCAAACUUCCUCUUCUCACAGUGAACAGUAACGAUGACGGCUCUCUCUCUCUUUUUCCGAUGAACAACAAGGAGGCUACCUCUCUCGAUGCUCAUCUCUCUAUUUCUGCGAACACAACAACAGCGAGAACCUCUCCCUUUAUUUCUCACGACGGCCAUGAGAGGAGAAACAAGGAUGAACAUAGAACAAUACCGUCUUUCUCUCACUCGGUUAUGUUCUUUCAAACAACAACUUUCGGUUUAUGUGUUUGAAGACAAACUCAAGAUAGUACACAAGAACAACAAAAAAUCUAUCAACAACAACUGACAGCAAUUUAAAGGGGUGAGAGUGUAGUCGGACUUACCUACGGCGAUGAGGUUUUCGCCGGUU